RNAcentral lists this ribosomal RNA (1181 nucleotides) under uncultured bacterium. Its description in RNAcentral is "bacterial SSU rRNA". It matches the Rfam family "Bacterial small subunit ribosomal RNA", at positions 9 to 1182 of the family's 1533-position model. The record is from RNAcentral.
GAGUUUGAUUCAUGGCUCAGAGUGAACGCUGGCGGCGUGCCUAAUACAUGCAAGUCGAACGGACAAGUAAGAGCUUGCUCUUAUGAGUUAGUGGCGCACGGGUGAGUAAUGUAUAGCUAAUCUGCCCUACACUAGAGGACAACAGUUGGAAACGACUGCUAAUACUCUAUACUCCUCUCUAGCAUAAGUUAGAUAGGGAAAGUUUUUCGGUGUAGGAUGAGGCUAUAUUGUAUCAGCUAGUUGGUGAGGUAAUGGCUCACCAAGGCUAUGACGCAUAACUGGUCUGAGAGGAUGAUCAGUCACACUGGAACUGAGACACGGUCCAGACUCCUACGGGAGGCAGCAGUAGGGAAUAUUGCUCAAUGGGGGAAACCCUGAAGCAGCAACGCCGCGUGGAGGAUGACACUUUUCGGAGCGUAAACUCCUUUUGUUAGGGAAGAACAAUGACGGUACCUAACGAAUAAGCACCGGCUAACUCCGUGCCAGCAGCCGCGGUAAUACGGAGGGUGCAAGCGUUACUCGGAAUCACUGGGCGUAAAGGACGCGUAGGCGGAUUAUCAAGUCUCUUGUGAAAUCCUAUGGCUUAACCAUAGAACUGCUUGGGAAACUGAUAAUCUAGAGUGAGGGAGAGGCAGAUGGAAUUGGUGGUGUAGGGGUAAAAUCCGUAGAGAUCACCAGGAAUACCCAUUGCGAAGGCGAUCUGCUGGAACUCAACUGACGCUAAUGCGUGAAAGCGUGGGGAGCAAACAGGAUUAGAUACCCUGGUAGUCCACGCCCUAAACGAUGUAUACUAGUUGUUGCUAAGCUAGUCUUGGCAGUAAUGCACCUAACGGAUUAAGUAUACCGCCUGGGGAGUACGGUCGCAAGAUUAAACUCAAAGAAUAGACGGGGACCCGCACAAGCGGUGGAGCGAUGUGGUUUGAAUUUCGAAAGAUACGCGAAAGAAACCUUACCCGGACUUGAUAUCUAACUAAUUCUAUCUAGAGAUAGAAGAGUGUUCUGCUUGCAGAAAAUGUUAAGAACGAGAGUGCUGCACGGCUGUUCGUCUAGCUCGUGUCGUGAGAUGUUGGGUUAAGUCCCGCGAACGAGCGCGAACCCGACGUUCGUUAGUUGCUAACGGUUUCGGCUGAGCCGCUCUAAUGAGAACUGCCUUCGUUAAGGAGAAGGAAAGGUGUGGACGA